Molecule: ribosomal RNA, 397 nt
Filed under: uncultured bacterium
Lineage: Bacteria
Description: partial 16S ribosomal RNA
Rfam family: Bacterial small subunit ribosomal RNA
Source: RNAcentral
UAUCUUUCGCAAUGGGCGCAAGCCUGACGCAGCCAUGCCGCGUGAAUGAUGAAGGUCCUAGGAUUGUAAAAUUCUUUCACCGGGGACGAUAAUGACGUUACCCGGAGAAGAAGCCCCGGCUAACCUCGUGCCAGCACCCGCGGUAAUACGAAGGGGGCUAGCGUUGCUCGGAAUUACUGGGCGUAAAGGGCGCGUAGGCGGACAUUUAAGUCAGGGGUGAAAUCCCAGAGCUCAACUCUGGAACUGCCUUGGAUACUGGGUGUAUUGAGUGUGAGAGAGGUAUGUGGAACUCCGAGUGUAGAGGUGAAAUUCGUAGAUAUUCGGAAGAACACCAGUGGCGAAGGCGACAUACUGGCUCAUUACUGACGCUGAGGCGCGAAAGCGUGGGGAGCAAACA